CAAUAGCGUAUAUUAAAGUUGUUGCGGUUAAAAGCUCGUAGUUGGAUUUCUGCCGAGGACGACCGGUCCGCCCUCUGGGUGAGCAUCUGGAUCGGCCUGGGCAUCUUCUUGGGGAACGUGUCUGCACUUGACUGUGUGGUGCGGUAUCCAGGACUUUUACUUUGAGGAAAUUAGAGUGUUUCAAGCAGGCGCACGCCUUGAAUACAUUAGCAUGGAAUAAUACUAUAGGAUCUCGGUUCUAUUUUGUUGGUUUCUAGAGUUGAGAUAAUGAUUAAUAGGGACAAUUGGGGGCAUUCGUAUCAACACGUCAGAGGUGGAAUUCUUGGAUUGUGUUGCGACGAACUACUGCGAAAGCAUUUGCCAAGGAUGUUUUCAUUGAUCAAGAACGAAAGUAAGGGGAUCGAAGAUGAUUAGAUACCAU
This 421-nucleotide ribosomal RNA is filed under the name uncultured eukaryote. Its description in RNAcentral is "SSU rRNA". It matches the Rfam family "Eukaryotic small subunit ribosomal RNA", at positions 592 to 1018 of the family's 1831-position model. The record is from RNAcentral.